GGUUCUAUGGUGUAAUGGUGAGCACUCUGGACUCUGAAUCCAUGGAAGAAUUGUAAUUAAAAACAUAGUACUA
Molecule: transfer RNA, 73 nt
Filed under: Pongo abelii (Sumatran orangutan)
Lineage: Eukaryota; Metazoa; Chordata; Mammalia; Primates; Hominidae
Rfam family: tRNA
About the family: Transfer RNA (tRNA) molecules are approximately 80 nucleotides in length. Their secondary structure includes four short double-helical elements and three loops (D, anti-codon, and T loops). Further hydrogen bonds mediate the characteristic L-shaped molecular structure. tRNAs have two regions of fundamental functional importance: the anti-codon, which is responsible for specific mRNA codon recognition, and the 3' end, to which the tRNAs corresponding amino acid is attached (by aminoacyl-tRNA synthetases). tRNAs cope with the degeneracy of the genetic code in two manners: having more than one tRNA (with a specific anti-codon) for a particular amino acid; and 'wobble' base-pairing, i.e. permitting non-standard base-pairing at the 3rd anti-codon position.
Source: Rfam by way of RNAcentral